GACUCUCGGCAACGGAUAUCUCGGCUCUCGCAUCGAUGAAGAACGUAGCGAAAUGCGAUACUUGGUGUGAAUUGCAGAAUCCCGUGAACCAUCGAGUUUUUGAACGCAAGUUGCGCCCGAAGCCGUCAGGCCGAGGGCACGCCUGCCUGGGUGUCACGCAACGUCGCCACGAACCCACUCAACCCCCCUUCCGCGGGGAACGUUGGGGGAUGGCGGAUAUUGGCCUCCCGUGGGCUCCCGCUCGCGGUUGGUCCAAAAAAGGGUCCCCUGGCGACGGCAGCCACGGCACGCGGUGGUUGGCAGAACGAGCUCCUCUAACACCGUCGUGGGCGAGCCUCGUCGAUGGGGGUGCGAAUGACCCCGGCGCAAGCGCCGCACUUUAAAAGCGACCCCAGGUCAGGCGGGAACACCCGCUGAGUUUAAG
Molecule: ribosomal RNA, 424 nt
Filed under: Monteverdia ilicifolia
Lineage: Eukaryota; Viridiplantae; Streptophyta; Magnoliopsida; Celastrales; Celastraceae
Description: eukaryotic LSU rRNA
Rfam family: 5.8S ribosomal RNA (bases 1-156)
Source: RNAcentral